CGCCACCUGCGGUGUUCGAUGCGGGCCUGGGUACCUCUCGACCCUAAUGUGAAACACCCAGGAGCCCGGCUCAGCGGCAGCAUUGUGCAAGUCCGCCUCGUAGCGGAAAGCCUUAAAUGCCGCGGCUUGCUCCACCUGUUGCUCCGUGUCGAGAGCAGCGGCCCAAGACGGCACAGGCGGGUGGCGC
RNAcentral lists this non-coding RNA (187 nucleotides) under Gammaproteobacteria bacterium. Its description in RNAcentral is "6S RNA". It matches the Rfam family "6S / SsrS RNA". From Rfam's summary of the family: E. coli 6S RNA was the first non coding RNA to be sequenced, but its function was unknown until recently. The record is from RNAcentral. Lineage: Bacteria; Pseudomonadati; Pseudomonadota; Gammaproteobacteria.